This 515-nucleotide ribosomal RNA is filed under the name Cryptosporidium sp. CrMouBr23. Its description in RNAcentral is "bacterial SSU rRNA". It matches the Rfam family "Eukaryotic small subunit ribosomal RNA", at positions 474 to 1018 of the family's 1831-position model. Lineage: Eukaryota; Apicomplexa; Conoidasida; Eucoccidiorida; Cryptosporidiidae. The record is from RNAcentral.
GAAAUAACAAUACAGGACCUUUCGGUUUUGUAAUUGGAAUGAGUUAAGUAUAAACCCCUUUACAAGUAUCAAUUGGAGGGCAAGUCUGGUGCCAGCAGCCGCGGUAAUUCCAGCUCCAAUAGCGUAUAUUAAAGUUGUUGCAGUUAAAAAGCUCGUAGUUGGAUUUCUGUUAAUUACUUUAUAUAAUCUGCACUUGUGUAGUUAUAUAGUAUUAACAUAAUUCAUAUUACUAUUUUUAGUAUGUGAAAUUUUACUUUGAGAAAAUUAGAGUGCUUAAAGCAGGCUUUUGCCUUGAAUACUUCAGCAUGGAAUAAUAAUUAAAGAUUUUUAUCUUUCUUUUAUUGGUUCUAAGAUAAAAAUAAUGAUUAAUAGGGACAGUUGGGGGCAUUUGUAUUUAACAGUUAGAGGUGAAAUUCUUAGAUUUGUUAAAGACAAACUAGUGCGAAAGCAUUUGCCAAGGAUGUUUUCAUUAAUCAAGAACGAAAGUUAGGGGAUCGAAGACGAUCAGAUACCGU